GCGUGCAGGAUGACGGUCCUAUGGAUUGUAAACUGCUUUUGUACAGGAAGAAACCUCCCUACGAGUAGGGACUUGACGGUACUGUAAGAAUAAGGAUCGGCUAACUCCGUGCCAGCAGCCGCGGUAAUACGGAGGAUCCGAGCGUUAUCCGGAAUUAUUGGGUUUAAAGGGUUCGUAGGCGGUUUGUAAGUCAGUGGUGAAAUUUCCUAGCUUAACUAGGACACUGCCAUUGAUACUGUUGAGCUUGAAUAAUAUGGAAGUAACUAGAAUAUGUAGUGUAGCGGUGAAAUGCUUAGAUAUUACAUGGAAUACCAAUUGCGAAGGCAGGUUACUACGUACUUAUUGACGCUGAUGAACGAAAGCGUGGGGAGCGAACAGGAUUAGAUACCCUGGUAGUCCACGCCGUAAACGAUGGAUACUAGCUGUUCGGUUUUCGGACUGAGUGGCUAAGCGAAAGUGAUAAGUAUCCCACCUGGGGAGUACGUUCGCAAGAAUGAAACUCAAAGGAAUUGACGGGGGCCCGCACAAGCGGUGGAGCAUGUGGUUUAAUUCGAUGAUACGCGAGGAACCUUACCAGGGCUUAAAUGUAGAUUGACAGAUUUGGAAACAGAUUUUUCUUCGGACAAUUUACAAGGUGCUGCAUGGUUGUCGUCAGCUCGUGCCGUGAGGUGUCAGGUUAAGUCCUAUAACGAGCGCAACCCCUAUUGUUAGUUACCAGCGCGUAGAGGCGGGGACUCUAGCAAGACUGCCGGUGCAAACCGUGAGGAAGGUGGGGAUGACGUCAAAUCAUCACGGCCCUUACGUCCUGGGCUACACACGUGCUACAAUGGCAAGUACAGAAAGCAGCUACCUGGCAACAGGAUGCGAAUCUCCAAAGCUUGUCUCAGUUCGGAUUGGAGUCUGCAACUCGACUCUAUGAAGCUGGAAUCGCUAGUAAUCGGAUAUCAGCCAUGAUCCGGUGAAUACGUUCCCGGGCCUUGUACACACCGCCCGUCAAGCCAUGGAAGCUGGGGGUACCUGAAGUCGGUGACCGCAAGGAGCUGCCUAGGGUAAAACUAGUAACUAGGGCUAAGUCGUAUAGCA
RNAcentral lists this ribosomal RNA (1083 nucleotides) under Myroides odoratimimus. Its description in RNAcentral is "bacterial SSU rRNA". It matches the Rfam family "Bacterial small subunit ribosomal RNA", at positions 399 to 1493 of the family's 1533-position model. Lineage: Bacteria; Pseudomonadati; Bacteroidota; Flavobacteriia; Flavobacteriales; Flavobacteriaceae. The record is from RNAcentral.